GAUGAACGCUGGCGGCGUGCCUAAUACAUGCCAGUCGAGCGAACAGACGAGGAGCUUGCUCCUCUGACGUUAGCGGCGGACGGGUGAGUAACACGUGGAUAACCUACCUAUAAGACUGGGAUAACUUCGGGAAACCGGAGCUAAUACCGGAUAAUAUAUUGAACCGCAUGGUUCAAUAGUGAAAGACGGUUUUGCUGUCACUUAUAGAUGGAUCCGCGCCGCAUUAGCUAGUUGGUAAGGUAACGGCUUACCAAGGCAACGAUGCGUAGCCGACCUGAGAGGGUGAUCGGCCACACUGGAACUGAGACACGGUCCAGACUCCUACGGGAGGCAGCAGUAGGGAAUCUUCCGCAAUGGGCGAAAGCUUGACGGAGCAACGCCGCGUGAGUGAUGAAGGUCUUCGGAUCGUAAAACUCUGUUAUUAGGGAAGAACAAAUGUGUAAGUAACUAUGCACGUCUUGACGGUACCUAACCAGAAAGCCACGGCUAACUACGUG
This 497-nucleotide ribosomal RNA is filed under the name uncultured bacterium. Its description in RNAcentral is "partial 16S ribosomal RNA". It matches the Rfam family "Bacterial small subunit ribosomal RNA", at positions 28 to 507 of the family's 1533-position model. The record is from RNAcentral.